GCUGAAAGGCUCUUCUGUGGUCCUGGCUACGGGAAUAGCUCUCAAGGGCCAGCCAUGGUUUCUGGCCACUGGCCACACUGUCUUCUGAACCCUUGGCCUGUGUGGAGCUCCCUCCCUGAGUUCCCAGAGCCCUGGCAGGCCCCAGGUUCCUCUGCCCAGCCUUCUGCUGGCCUGAGUGUCCUGUGGAGGAGGGGAGGCAGGACUGCAGGAGGACCCAGCCAGGCUGAGCUGGGAGCCAAGAGGGGCUUGGCAACUUCUUGAGGACUGGCACAGUGCCUCUGCCUUCUCCAACAACCCUCUGCCUCGCCUCAGGGAGCUGCUCAGGACCUGACCGAGCAUUCAGUUAAUAAAGCCGUGUUGAUGUUGCCUGGUAAAAGUAAACCCAAAGACACAAGGUCACCUGACAUUUAGUAGUUCUGGCCAAUAGAAAUAUAAUACCAGCCACAUGUUUUUAAAAAAUUUUCUAGUGGACACGGAGAGAGAAGAAAACAGGGCCGUGAAACUCCCCUGGAGAGGGGAUUUAUGGUAGCCUCAUUUCCCAGAAGCUGCUGCUUUUCGUCAGAUAAGGGACGCUCCCAGGAGACUAUUUUCCUGCAUCUGUUGAAUCUCAAAUAUCCUCAGCUUAAAAGGAUCUUCAUGCCAACUCUGUGGUUCCAAGUGGGGAAACUGAGGUGCAGUUCCUGUGCGGCCACGCCGUGACCCCUUCCCUCCAGCUGAAUCGGUUUCCACGAAGUCCCAGGGGCCGCCCGAGAAAACCUGGAGGCCUUCCUGCCCUGAGGAGCCUGGGGAGGGAGACGCCUCGCUGACUCUCCGCUCCUCGGACACAGGCGGCGGGCGGGCAGGCGAGGGCCGCGGGGACCAGGCGGCCGGGGUUUAAAACUCCAGGGGACCGUGAUGUAACUCGGCGCCGGGCUUGCACGAGAAGCCCCAGGCGCGCACAAGAAGCCCCAGGCGCCGCAGCGGCUUGUUUACCGAGUGGGGAGUUUAUUGGGGGCGGAGUCAUAGGCGCCUCGGCCCCGCCCCCGGUGCGC
Molecule: long non-coding RNA, 1031 nt
Organism: Bos taurus (domestic cattle)
Lineage: Eukaryota; Metazoa; Chordata; Mammalia; Artiodactyla; Bovidae
Source: Ensembl